This 301-nucleotide ribosomal RNA is filed under the name uncultured bacterium. Its description in RNAcentral is "partial 16S ribosomal RNA". It matches the Rfam family "Bacterial small subunit ribosomal RNA", at positions 509 to 807 of the family's 1533-position model. The record is from RNAcentral.
CAGUAGCCGCGGGAAUACAGAGGGUGCAAGCGUUAAUCGGAAUUACUGGGCGUAAAGCGCGCGUAGGUGGUUUGUUAAGUUGGAUGUGAAAUCCCCGGGCUCAACCUGGGAACUGCAUCCAAAACUGGCAAGCUAGAGUAUGGUAGAGGGUGGUGGAAUUUCCUGUGUAGCGGUGAAAUGUGUAGAUAUAGGAAGGAACACCAGUGGCGAAGGCGACCACCUGGACUGAUACUGACACUGAGGUGCGAAAGCGUGGGGAGCAAACAGGAUUAGAUACCCCCGUAGUCCCUGUCUCUUAUAC